This is a long non-coding RNA of Cynoglossus semilaevis (tongue sole), 448 nucleotides long. RefSeq lists it as uncharacterized. The record is from RefSeq and is a predicted model, not a curated record. The transcript has 3 exons. Lineage: Eukaryota; Metazoa; Chordata; Actinopteri; Pleuronectiformes; Cynoglossidae.
GCCAAACUGUAGUCACCAGCGAUGUAGUAACGCAACAAUACAAUUUUGUGACGUCAUGUAAUUGAGACACGUUAUGGGAUUUUUAAGCGAUGUUGACGUCAUCAUGCGGCGACAGGAAGAUGGCGGCUUUGUGUUUGUUGGCGAAGCUGAAGCUGAAGGGAGACGAGGAAAAGAGAGUGUGUGUUCCCUUAAACGGUUCUCUGUCUUCUCUGAGCUGUGGAAUCAAGGAGCUGAAUGUGAAGGUGUCACAGCUAUUGACGUCACUGCUGCAGAAUGAGCUAGGUGCAGGUGAAGAUGAAGAAGAUGAGGAAGAGGACGAGGAGGCCGGGUCAAAAGGUCAACGACCACUAGCUAAAAGACUGAAACUGUAGACAGCCGAGAAUCAUCUGACCUAUGACAGAUUUGUGACUUUACUCAUUUGUGUUAAAUAAAGUCAGUUGUAAAUCAG